GGGCCUUGUCCUGGGUAGAGGGGCAUCUGGCUGUGGUGGCCUCUCAUCCCGGCCAGGGACAAAGCGACUCCUUGUUCAUCCCGGCCCGGCCCUUGCUCUGUGCCCGUGCUGGUUCAUGCCCUGGACACAGCA
Erinaceus europaeus (western European hedgehog) is the source of this 132-nucleotide small nucleolar RNA. NCBI's taxonomy places the organism in Eukaryota, Metazoa, Chordata, Mammalia, Eulipotyphla, Erinaceidae. The record is from Ensembl.